Molecule: ribosomal RNA, 497 nt
Filed under: uncultured bacterium
Lineage: Bacteria
Description: partial 16S ribosomal RNA
Rfam family: Bacterial small subunit ribosomal RNA
Source: RNAcentral
GAUGAACGCUGGCGGCGUGCCUAAUACAUGCAAGUCGAGCGAACAGACGAGGAGCUUGCUCCUCUGACGUUAGCGGCGGACGGGUGAGUAACACGUGGAUAACCUACCUAUAAGACUGGGAUAACUUCGGGAAACCGGAGCUAAUACCGGAUAAUAUAUUGAACCGCAUGGUUCAAUAGUGAAAGACGGUUUUGCUGUCACUUAUAGAUGGAUCCGCGCCGCAUUAGCUAGUUGGUAAGGUAACGGCUUACCAAGGCAACCAUGCGUAGCCGACCUGAGAGGGUGAUAGGCCACACUGGAGCUGAGACACGGUCAAGACUCCUAAGGGAGGCAGCAGUAGGGAAUCGUACGCAAUGGGCGAAAGCCUGACGGAGCAACGCCGCGUGAGUGAUGAAGGUCUUCGGAGCGUAAAACUCUGUUAUUAGGGAAGAACAAAUGUGUAAGUAACUAUGCACGUCUUGACGGUACCUAAUCAGAAAGCCACGGCUAACUACGUG